UCCAGCCUGCCGCGUGCAGGAUGAAGGCCUUCGGGUUGUAAACUGCUUUUGUACGGAACGAAACGGCCUUUUCUAAUAAAGAGGGCUAAUGACGGUACCGUAAGAAUAAGCACCGGCUAACUACGUGCCAGCAGCCGCGGUAAUACGUAGGGUGCAAGCGUUAAUCGGAAUUACUGGGCGUAAAGCGUGCGCAGGCGGUAAUGUAAGACAGUUGUGAAAUCCCCGGGCUCAACCUGGGAACUGCAUCUGUGACUGCAUUGCUGGAGUACGGCAGAGGGGGAUGGAAUUCCGCGUGUAGCAGUGAAAUGCGUAGAUAUGCGGAGGAACACCGAUGGCGAAGGCAAUCCCCUGGGCCUGUACUGACGCUCAUGCACGAAAGCGUGGGGAGCAAACAGGAUUAGAUACCCUGGUAGUCCACGCCCUAAACGAUGUCAACUGGUUGUUGGGAAUUCACUUUCUCAGUAACGAAGCUACGCGUGAAGUUGACCCGCUGGG
RNAcentral lists this ribosomal RNA (495 nucleotides) under Variovorax paradoxus. RNAcentral describes it as "bacterial SSU rRNA". It matches the Rfam family "Bacterial small subunit ribosomal RNA", at positions 387 to 877 of the family's 1533-position model. The record is from RNAcentral. Lineage: Bacteria; Pseudomonadati; Pseudomonadota; Betaproteobacteria; Burkholderiales; Comamonadaceae.